CAAGAGCUAGGACAGGAGGAGCCGCAGAGCUCGUAAUUGCUGCGGGGAGGACAGGCCAGCUCUGGAAGAAAACAGGCCACUUCAAACUUGCAGCACACAGUGAGCAACUCGGACAAUAUAGGGUCCAGUGCUGGGAGGGUCUCGCUCUGUCACCCAGGAUGCAGUGCAGUGGUGCCAGCAUGGCUCAUGGCAACCUCGAACUCCUGGACUCAAGAGAUUCUCCUGCCGCAGCCUCCAAGUAGCUGAGAAUACAGGUGUGCACCACCACCAGGCCUGGCUAAUUUUUUUUUUUUUUUUUU
This 299-nucleotide long non-coding RNA is filed under the name Homo sapiens (human). RNAcentral describes it as "HSALNT0397584". The record is from RNAcentral. Lineage: Eukaryota; Metazoa; Chordata; Mammalia; Primates; Hominidae.